This 389-nucleotide ribosomal RNA is filed under the name Klebsiella aerogenes. Its description in RNAcentral is "bacterial SSU rRNA". It matches the Rfam family "Bacterial small subunit ribosomal RNA", at positions 956 to 1345 of the family's 1533-position model. Lineage: Bacteria; Pseudomonadati; Pseudomonadota; Gammaproteobacteria; Enterobacterales; Enterobacteriaceae. The record is from RNAcentral.
GCAACGCGAAGAACCUUACCUACUCUUGACAUCCAGAGAACUUAGCAGAGAUGCUUUGGUGCCUUCGGGAACUCUGAGACAGGUGCUGCAUGGCUGUCGUCAGCUCGUGUUGUGAAAUGUUGGGUUAAGUCCCGCAACGAGCGCAACCCUUAUCCUUUGUUGCCAGCGGUUCGGUCGGGAACUCAAAGGAGACUGCCAGUGAUAAACUGGAGGAAGGUGGGGAUGACGUCAAGUCAUCAUGGCCCUUACGAGUAGGGCUACACACGUGCUACAAUGGCGCAUACAAAGAGAAGCGACCUCGCGAGAGCAAGCGGACCUCAUAAAGUAUGUCGUAGUCCGGAUUGGAGUCUGCAACUCGACUCCAUGAAGUCGGAAUCGCUAGUAAUCGU